AACGAACGCUGGCGGCAUGCCUAACACAUGCAAGUCGAACGAAGGCUUCGGCCUUAGUGGCGCACGGGUGCGUAACGCGUGGGAAUCUGCCCCUCGGUUCGGAAUAACAGUUAGAAAUGACUGCUAAUACCGGAUGAUGACUUCGGUCCAAAGAUUUAUCGCCGAGGGAUGAGCCCGCGUAAGAUUAGGUAGUUGGUGGGGUAAAGGCCUACCAAGCCGACGAUCUUUAGCUGGUCUGAGAGGAUGAUCAGCCACACUGGGACUGAGACACGGCCCAGACUCCUACGGGAGGCAGCAGUGGGGAAUAUUGGACAAUGGGCGAAAGCCUGAUCUAGCAAUGCCGCGUGAGUGAUGAAGGCCUUAGGGUUGUAAAGCUCUUUUACCAGGGAUGAUAAUGACAGUACCUGGAGAAUAAGCUCCGGCUAACUCCGUGCCAGCAGCAGCGGUAA
RNAcentral lists this ribosomal RNA (449 nucleotides) under uncultured bacterium. RNAcentral's name for it is "partial 16S ribosomal RNA". It matches the Rfam family "Bacterial small subunit ribosomal RNA", at positions 29 to 523 of the family's 1533-position model. The record is from RNAcentral.